UGGCGGGAUGCUUUACGUCAUGCAAGUCGAACGGCAGCACGGACUUCGGUCUGGUGGCGAGUGGCGAACGGGUGAGUAAUGUAUCGGAACGUGCCUAGUAGUGGGGAUAACUACGCCAGCAGUAGCUAAUACCGCAUACGCCCUUCGGGGGAAAGCGGGGACUUCGGGCCUCGCACUGGCCAGGGAGCGGCCGAUAUCGGACAGGUUAGUUGGUGGGGUAACGGCUCACCACAAGGACACGAUCCGCAGCUGGCCGAGGAGGACGACCACAGCCACUGGGACUGAGACACGGCCCAGACUCUACGGGAGGCAGCAGUGGGGAAUUUUGACAAUGGGGAAACCUGAUCCAGCCAUCCCGCGUGUGCGAUGAAGGCCUGUUGUAAAGCACUUUGGCAGGAGAAACGGCACGGCUAACACUCCCGUGCAACUGACGGUACCUGCAGAAUAAGCACCGGCUAACUACGUGCCAGCAGCCGCGGUAAUACGUAGGUGCAAGGUUAACGAACUACUGGGCGCAAGCGUGCGCAAGGCGGUUCGGAAAGAAAGAUGUGAAAUCCCAGAGCUUAACUUUGGAACUGCAUUUUUAACUACCGAGCUAGAGUGUGUCAGAGGGGAGGUGGAAUUCGCGUGUAGCAGUGAAAUGCGUAGAUAUGCGGAGAGAACACUGAUGGCGAAGGCAGCCUCCCGGGAUAACACUGACGCUCAUGCACGAAAGCGUGGAGCAAACAGGAUUAGAUACCCUGGUAGUCCACGCCCAAACGACAGUCGUAACUUAGCUGCUGGGGCCUCAGCGCAGCUAACGCGUGAAGUUGACCGCCUGGGGAGUACGGUCGCAAGAUUAAAACUCAAAGGAAUUGACGGGACCCGCACAAGCGGCGGAUGAUGUGGAUUAAUUCGAUGCAACGCGAAAAACCUUACCUACCCUUGACAUGUCUGAAUCCCGAUUUGGGGAGUGUCGCAAGAGAACCGGAACACAGGUGCUGCAUGGCUGUCGUCAGCUCGUGUCGUGAGAUGUUGGGUUAAGUCCUGCAACGAGCGCGGCAACCUCGGUCAUUAGUUGGCUACGAAAGGGCACUCUUAAUGAGACUGCCGGUGACAAACCGAUAGUGGGAUGACGUCAAGUCCUCAUGGCCCUUAUGGGUAGGGCUUCACACGUCGCCAUACAAUGGUCGGGACAGAGGGUCGCCAACCCGGCGAGGGGAGCCAAUCCCAGAAACCCGAUCGUAGUCCGGAUCGCAGGUCUGCAACUCGACUGCGUGAAGUCGGAAUCGCUAGUAAUCGCGGAUCAGCAUGUCGCGGUGUGAAUACGUUCCCGGGUCUUGGAAGACACCGCCUGUCACACCAUGGGAGUGGGUUUAUCACAGAAGCAGUUACCUAACUGCAAGGAGGGCGAUUACCACGGUAGGAUUCAUGACUGGGGUGAAGUCGUAACAAGGUAA
This 1439-nucleotide ribosomal RNA is filed under the name uncultured Bordetella sp. RNAcentral's name for it is "partial 16S-23S ribosomal RNA intergenic spacer". It matches the Rfam family "Bacterial small subunit ribosomal RNA". The record is from RNAcentral. Lineage: Bacteria; Pseudomonadati; Pseudomonadota; Betaproteobacteria; Burkholderiales; Alcaligenaceae.